RNAcentral lists this ribosomal RNA (643 nucleotides) under uncultured bacterium. RNAcentral describes it as "bacterial SSU rRNA". It matches the Rfam family "Bacterial small subunit ribosomal RNA", at positions 202 to 842 of the family's 1533-position model. The record is from RNAcentral.
AAAGGAAGCGAUUCCGGCUACGGAUGGUCAUGCGUCGCAUUAGCUUGUUGGCGGGGUAACGGCCCACCAAGGCGACGAUGCGUAGGGGUUCUGAGAGGAAGGUCCCCCACACUGGUACUGAGACACGGACCAGACUCCUACGGGAGGCAGCAGUGAGGAAUAUUGGUCAAUGGCCGCAGGGCUGAACCAGCCAAGUCGCGUGAGGGAUGACGGUCCUAUGGAUUGUAAACCUCUUUUGUCAGGGAGCAAAGGGCGCCACGUGUGGCGCUUUGCGAGUACCUGAAGAAAAAGCAUCGGCUAACUCCGUGCCAGCAGCCGCGGUAAUACGGAGGAUGCGAGCGUUAUCCGGAUUUAUUGGGUUUAAAGGGUGCGCAGGCGGAAUGUCAAGUCAGCGGUAAAAUUUCGGGGCUCAACCCCGUCGUGCCGUUGAAACUGGCGUUCUUGGGUGAGCGAGAAGUAUGCGGAAUGCGUGGUGUAGCGGUGAAAUGCAUAGAUAUCACGCAGAACUCCGAUUGCGAAGGCAGCAUACCGGCGCUCAACUGACGCUCAUGCACGAAAGCGUGGGUAUCGAACAGGAUUAGAUACCCUGGUAGUCCACGCAGUAAACGAUGAAUACUAACUGUCCGGGCAGAAUGAUGCCUGG